Molecule: ribosomal RNA, 441 nt
Filed under: uncultured bacterium
Lineage: Bacteria
Description: partial 16S ribosomal RNA
Rfam family: Bacterial small subunit ribosomal RNA
Source: RNAcentral
CCUACGGGUGGCAGCAGUGGGGAAUAUUGGCCAAUGGGCGCAAGCCUGACCCAGCAACGCCGCGUGAAGGAUGAAGGUUUUCGGAUUGUAAACUUCUGUCGCGAGGGACGAAGAAUGACGGUACCUCGUAAGAAAGCCCCGGCUAACUACGUGCCAGCAGCCGCGGUAAUACGUAGGGGGCAAGCGUUGUCCGGAAUGACUGGGCGUAAAGGGAGUGUAGGCGGCUUAUCAAGUCAGAAGUGAAAACCCAGGGCUCAACCUUGGGACUGCUUUUGAAACUGAGUAGCUAGAGUGCAGGAGAGGUAAGCGGAAUUCCUAGUGUAGCGGUGAAAUGCGUAGAUAUUAGGAGGAACACCAGUGGCGAAGGCGGCUUACUGGACUGUAACUGACGUUGAGGCUCGAAAGCGUGGGGAGCAAACAGGAUUAGAUACCCUUGUAGUC